GACGAACGCUGGCGGCGUGCUUAAUACAUGCAAGUAGAACGCUGAAGGAGGAGCUUGCUUCUCUGGAUGAGUUGCGAACGGGUGAGUAACGCGUAGGUAACCUGCCUGGUAGUGGGGGAUAACUUUUGGAAACGAUAGCUAAUACCGCAUAAUAGUAGAUGUUGCAUGACAUUUGUUUAAAAGGUGCAAUUGCAUCACUAGCAGAUGGACCUGCGUUGUAUUAGGUAGUUGGUGAGGUAACGGCUCACCAAGGCAACGAUACAUAGCCGACCUGAGAGGGGGGUCAGCCGCACUGAGACGGUGACACGGCCCAGACGCCUUCGGGAGCGAGCAGUAGGGAAACUUCGGCAAUCGACGGAAGUCUUACCGAGCAACGCCGCGUGAGUGAAGAAGGUUGUCGGAUCGUAAAGCACUGUUGUAAGAGAAGAACCAGUGUUAGAGUGUAAAGUUCACACUGUGACGGUAACUGACCAGAAAGGGACGGCUAACUACGUG
Molecule: ribosomal RNA, 495 nt
Filed under: uncultured bacterium
Lineage: Bacteria
Description: partial 16S ribosomal RNA
Rfam family: Bacterial small subunit ribosomal RNA
Source: RNAcentral